RNAcentral lists this ribosomal RNA (1383 nucleotides) under uncultured fungus. RNAcentral's name for it is "eukaryotic LSU rRNA". The stretch from base 596 to 1383 matches the Rfam family "Eukaryotic large subunit ribosomal RNA", at positions 1 to 649 of the family's 3401-position model. The record is from RNAcentral. Lineage: Eukaryota; Fungi.
AGUCGUAACAAGGUUUCCGUAGGUGAACCUGCGGAAGGAUCGUCAACAAAUCUAAAAAGAAAUUUAGUGAGAGAUCACUAAAUUUUUUUAACCAAUGUGAAUUGGGUAGUAGUAGUAGUAAAAUACUACUUAUUAUUACCCUCAAGUUAUUUUUUAUUAUAAGCAUAGAUAAAAUUUAUUUUACCUCUACUGAAUAAUAAAAAAAUAAUAAACGAGUUUUAAUAGAGUCUGAUUUAAAAUUAAACAUAAUUUUUAUAAUAACUUUUAACAAUGGAUCUCUUGGCUCUUGCAACGAUGAAGAACGCAGUGAAUUGCGAUAAGUAAUGUGAAUUGCAUCACCUGUGAAUCAUCAAAUCUUUGAACGCACCUUGCGCCUUUUGGGUCUACUGAAAGGCAUACCUGUUUGAGUAUCAGAAAGUAUUCUAUCAAUAAUGAAAGUUAUUUGAUAGGAAUUGAGGUCUAUUAUUAUUUUUUAAUAUUCCUUGAAAUUUAGGUAGAAUUAAUAUUUGAUUCAAAAGUGCGGUAAGAAAAUAUCAUUUUCUCCCACUGAUAAAAGUCUAUAUUCACACCUACUCUCUUUAACUAAAUGAACUCUUGAUCUCAAAUCAGGUAGGAUCACCCGCUGAACUUAAGCAUAUCAGUAAGCGGAGGAAAAGAAACUAACAAGGAUUCCCUCAGUAACGGCGAGUGAAGUGGGAACAGCUCAAGUUUUAAAUCUGAAAGGUCUCCUUUCCGAGUUGUAAACUAUAGAGACGUUUUCUGUAGUGACUGUGGUAAAAGUUCUUUGGAACAAGACAUCAGAGAGGGUGAGAAUCCCGUAACUGACCACUUGUCUACUGCUCUAUGAUACGUUUUCUACGAGUCGAGUUGUUUGGGAAUGCAGCUCAAAAUGGGUGGUAAAUUUCAUCUAAAGCUAAAUAAUGGCAAGAGACCGAUAGCGAACAAGUACCGUGAGGGAAAGAUGAAAAGAACUUUGAAAAGAGAGUUAAAUAGUACGUGAAAUUGUUAAAAGGGAAACGAUUGAAACCAGUAUUUUUAAUAGAAUUCAAUCAAUUUUAAUGGAUCUUUAUGCUCUUAAAGAGGGUAACCCCCCUUUGAGUAUAAUGUUGAAGUUUAAAUUGAUGCAUUUUUCUAUUAAAAAGUCAACAUCAGUUUUAUUUGCCGGAUAAAGUGUUAAGGAAGGUGACUCUUUUAGAGUUUUAUAGACUUUUCACUAAACGGCGGAUCGAGACUGAGGACAGCAGCGUAGCGCAAGCAUUUCCUAAAGUAGUACAUUUUAACUGAACUGCUUAAGACUACAAGUAGACUUGAGUAGGAUUAGUUAUUUUAAGGCUAUGGAGGGUUAAUACGCUUAGGAUGUUGACGAAAUGGUUUUAAACGACC